AACCUGGUUGAUCCUGCCAGUAGUCAUAUGCUUGUCUCAAAGAUUAAGCCAUGCAUGUCUCAGCUUAAGUUGCUUUCUGCUACACUGUGAAUGGCUCAUUAUAUCAGCCACAAAUUGAUUGGUGGCUGACACAUAUGGAUAUCUAUGGCAACUCUGUAGCUAACACAUGCUCGUUGACCCUGCUGGAUGGGUUGUAGCCAUUCUCACAAGAACCAAUUCAGGCUCUGCUUGGCCAAGCAUGAGUACAAAUGGCUGUAUGAAUCACGGUGUCUGUGCAGGUGAUAAUCCUUCAAGGUUUCUGACCUAUCAGCUUCCGACGGCAGGGUAAUGGCCCACUGUGGCAGUGACAGGUGACGGAGGAUUAGGGUUUGAUUCCGGAGAGGGAGCCUGAGAAAUGGCUACCACAUCCAAGGAAGGCAGCAGGCGCGCAACUUGCCCAAUUCUGGACGAAAGAGGUAGUGACAAGAAAUAGCAAUUCAAGGCAUCCAUGUCUUGUACUUGGAAUGAAAGACCUGCACACUUCCUUUUGAGUAUCUAUUGGAGGGCAAGUCUGGUGCCAGCAGCCGCGGUAAUUCCAGCUCCAAUGGCAUAUGUUAGAGUUGUUGCAGUUAAAAGGCUCGUAGUUGGAUUUCUGCAGAGGAUGCCUGGUCCGCCCAUGGGGUGAGCAUCUGGUGCAGCCUGAGCAUAUUUCCUAAAUAUGCAACUGCACUUGGCUGUGUGGUGCAAAUUUGGGGGCUUUUACUUUGAGGAAAUGAGAGUGUUCAAAGCAAGUGUGUGCUGUGCAUACAGAAGCAUGGAAUAAUAGCUGUGUCUGGGCUUCAAUUUGUUGGUUUCUGGAGCUGGAAAGGUGAAACAGGGACGGCUGGGGACAUUGGUAUUUGACUGUCAGAGGUGAAAUUCUUGAAUUUGUCAAGGAUGGACCACUGCAAAAGCAUUUGUCAAGGAUGUUUUCAUUGAUCAAGAACGAAAGUUAGGGGAUCAAAGACGAUUAGAUACCGUCAUAGUCUUAACCAUAAACCAUGCCAACUAGAGAUUGGAGAUUGUUACAUACACGACUCCUUCAGCACCGUGUGAGAAGUUGAAGUCUUGGGGUUCUGGGGGGAGUAUGGUCGCAAGGCUGAAACUUGAAGGAAUUGACGGAAGGGGACCACCAGGAGUGGAGCGUGCGGCUUACUUUGACUCAACACGGGGAAACUUACCAGGUCCAGACACAAGUGGGAUUGACAGAUUGACAGCUGUUUUCUUGAUUCUGUGGGUGGUGGUGCAUGGCCGUUCUUAGUUGGUGGAGUGAUUUGUCUGGUUAAUUCCGUUAACGAACGAGACCUUAACCUGCCAAAUAGUUACAUGUAAUUGCGGUUGUGUGGGCAACUUCUUAGAUGCCAACCUGCGGCGUGAUGGGGAUGGAUUGCAACAGGUGGCUGAUACUGCAUUGAUUGUGUCCCUGCCCUCUGUACACACCGCCCGUCGCUCCUACCGAUUGAGCGGUCCGGUGAAUAGUUUGGACCUGCUGUAGCAUCCAGUCAUGGAGCAGCACAGCCAGAAAUUCAGUGAACCUUAUCACUUAGAGGAAGGAGAAGUCGUAACAAGGUUUCUGUAGGUGAACCUGCAGAAGGAUCA
Molecule: ribosomal RNA, 1617 nt
Filed under: Gambierdiscus caribaeus
Lineage: Eukaryota; Dinophyceae; Gonyaulacales; Pyrocystaceae
Description: SSU rRNA
Rfam family: Eukaryotic small subunit ribosomal RNA
Source: RNAcentral